Molecule: ribosomal RNA, 440 nt
Filed under: uncultured bacterium
Lineage: Bacteria
Description: partial 16S ribosomal RNA
Rfam family: Bacterial small subunit ribosomal RNA
Source: RNAcentral
CCUACGGGUGGCUGCAGUCGGGAAUUUUGCGCAAUGGGCGAAAGCCUGACGCAGCAACGCCGCGUGAGGGAUGAAGGCCUUCGGGUUGUAAACCUCUUUUCUCAGGGACGAUGAUGACGGUACCUGAGGAAUAAGUCACGGCUAACUACGUGCCAGCAGCCGCGGUACUACGUAGGUGGCAAGCGUUGUCCGGAUUUACUGGGCGUAAAGAGCGCGCAGGCGGUCGUUCAAGUCGAGUGUGAAAGCCCCCGGCUCAACUGGGGAGGGUCACUCGAUACUGAUCGACUUGAAGGCGGGAGAGGGAAGCGGAAUUCCCGGUGUAGUGGUGAAAUGCGUAGAUAUCGGGAGGAACACCAGUGGCGAAGGCGGCUUUCUGGCCCGUUCUUGACGCUGAGGCGCGAAAGCUAGGGUAGCAAACGGGAUUAGAUACCCUGGUAGUC